This 300-nucleotide ribosomal RNA is filed under the name uncultured bacterium. RNAcentral's name for it is "bacterial SSU rRNA". It matches the Rfam family "Bacterial small subunit ribosomal RNA", at positions 333 to 651 of the family's 1533-position model. The record is from RNAcentral.
CGUGGCCUACGGGGGGCAGCAGUAGGGAAUCUUCCACAAUGGACGAAACCCUGACGCAGCAACGCCGCGUGCGGGACGAAGGCCCUCGGGUCGUAAACCGCUUUCAGCAGGGAAGACCACGACGGUACCUGCAGAAGAAGCUCCGGCUAACUACGUGCCAGCAGCCGCGGUAAUACGUAGGGGGCGAGCGUUAUCCGGAUUCAUUGGGCGUAAAGCGCGCGUAGGCGGCCGCCUAAGCGGAACCUCUAACCCCGGGGCUCAACCUCGGGCCGGGUUCCGGACUGGGCGGCUCGAGUGCGG